This 459-nucleotide ribosomal RNA is filed under the name uncultured bacterium. RNAcentral's name for it is "partial 16S ribosomal RNA". It matches the Rfam family "Bacterial small subunit ribosomal RNA", at positions 338 to 795 of the family's 1533-position model. The record is from RNAcentral.
CCUACGGGAGGCAGCAGUGAGGAAUAUUGGUCAAUGGGCGCGAGCCUGAACCAGCCAAGUCGCGUGAGGGAAGACGGUCCUAUGGAUUGUAAACCUCUUUUGUCGGGGAGCAAAAGACGCCACGCGUGGCGUUCCGAGAGUACCCGAAGAAAAAGCAUCGGCUAACUCCGUGCCAGCAGCCGCGGUAAUACGGAGGAUGUGAGCGUUAUCCGGAUGUAUUGGGGUUAAAGGGUGCGCAGGCGGAAGAUCAAGUCAGCGGUAAAAUUGAGAGGCUCAACCUCUUAGAGCCGUUGAAACUGGUUUUCUUGAGUGAGUGAGAAGUAUGCGGAAUGCGUGGUGUAGCGGUGAAAUGCAUAGAUAUCACGCAGAACUCCGAUUGCGAAGGCAGCAUACCGGCGCUCAACUGACGCUCAUGCACGAAAGUGUGGGUAUCGAACAGGAUUAGAUACCCUUGUAGUC